CGGAGCCAGAGUCCCGAGGGAGGGGCGUAGUCGGUCCCUGGAGGGGGGCGCGUGGUCGAGCGGGGCUGGGUCCUAAGGGAUGCGAAGGCGGUGGAGGAGUUCAGAAGCGCUUGUCUCUCACCAGGCCAUUCCUCAGCGGCUUCCUAGAGGCCAGAACCGGGCCGCGGUUAGCCCCGGGCCCCAUGCCCCACAUACUGCCCUGUCCCGACUGUCUUGCCCUCCACUUCUUUUUCCUACCCGGCGAGGGCUCACCUGGGUCCUUCUUCCCUUCCCACAGGGCCAGAAGACCUUGCCUUCCGCCCACUGGGCAUGGCGUAAACCCUCCUCUCUCCUCCCUCCUGAGCCAUCCACAGCCCGGCCGCUGGGAAGUAAAAGCCCUCCGCCUGACUUCCGUCUUCUGCACCUUAAUUUUCCAAAAACGCAACGCUGAAAUCGCUCCCAUGUGCCCCACUGCUCUCUGUAAAUUCCAUUUCCCCUGCCUGUAUCAGUGGCAGGUCUCUGGGGUUCCGACUGGGAGGGGACCUGGGCACUGGGGGUCUGCCCACGACCAUCUUACCAGAUUCAACAAGGGUUUCUGCCCCUGCUCCUUGGUGCCUUUGCCAGUGCCUGCUGGUGCGGAAACCGCAUCUUACUGUGGCUUAAUGGUCAUGGUAUUGCCUAUUCCUUUUCCCACUUAGGCGAGCCCUUCCUGUCCUUGCACAUGGUCUGUCUCCGCAGAAGUGGAUUCCACCUUCUGGUUUACAUACAGAUGUAUCAAGUUUCUUGAGCUGGUUCAUUGCACCACUAUGGGGAAAAAAGAAUCAGAACAAGGGCGGAAGCUGGAGGGUGAUGAAUGAGGGCAGGCAGCGUCUCGGGUGGAUUCUGGAUGUUUCCUCAGAGCUCCCGAAUUAAAAGUGGUCCCCGUCGUCAUUCCUUGCUGUUCUCAAACCUCACUGCAUUUUUGCCUAUGAAGCCUGCACGAUCCUGGUUCUGAGCGCUUGAGAUUUCCCCCGGGGGCUGGGUUUGGUCAGUUGUGAGAAAUGCCCUGUGCUUCAAAAGGACAUCUGUUCACCCUGCUUCUGGGCGGCUUGUGAGCCCAGACCACUUCCCUCAGUCCCCUCAAGUGGAGAUUCUGGGUUGUACACCGUGGAACGUUCCAGAUCAAGAAUGCCGCCUGAAUUUCUUGUCCCAUCCUUUUACUCGCAACUUUCACGUACUCUGGACUUGAAGCCUUUUAACCAGUACAGAGGUGGAUAUUGAAGGAAAAAAAAAGUCUUG
Long non-coding RNA from Prionailurus viverrinus (fishing cat), 1257 nucleotides. RefSeq lists it as uncharacterized. The record is from RefSeq and is a predicted model, not a curated record. The transcript is spliced from 3 exons. Lineage: Eukaryota; Metazoa; Chordata; Mammalia; Carnivora; Felidae.